This 72-nucleotide transfer RNA is filed under the name Daphnia pulex (common water flea). RNAcentral describes it as "tRNA-Thr". It matches the Rfam family "tRNA". From Rfam's summary of the family: Transfer RNA (tRNA) molecules are approximately 80 nucleotides in length. Their secondary structure includes four short double-helical elements and three loops (D, anti-codon, and T loops). The record is from RNAcentral. Lineage: Eukaryota; Metazoa; Arthropoda; Branchiopoda; Diplostraca; Daphniidae.
GCCUUCAUAGCUCAGUGGUAGAGCGUCGGUCUCGUAAACCGAAUGUCGAGAGUUCAAUCCUCUCUGAAGGCA